AGAGUUUGAUCAUGGCUCAGAAUCAACGCUGGCGGCGUGCCUAACACAUGCAAGUCGAACGCGAAAGUCCCGCAAGGGAUAAGUAGAGUGGCAAACGGGUGAGUAACACGUGGGUGACCUGCCUUCGAGUGGGGGAUAACGUCCCGAAAGGGACGCUAAUACCGCAUUACAUCCUGCCUUUGAACAGGCGGAGAUCAAAGCUGGGGAUCGCAAGACCUAGCGCUUGAAGAGGGGCCCGCGUCUGAUUAGCUAGUUGGUGAGGUAACGGCUCACCAAGGCGACGAUCAGUAUCCGGCCUGAGAGGGCGGACGGACACACUGGGACUGAGACACGGCCCAGACUCCUACGGGAGGCAGCAGUGGGGAAUUGUUCGCAAUGGGCGCAAGCCUGACGACGCAACGCCGCGUGGAGGAUGAAGACCUUCGGGUCGUAAACUCCUUUCGAUCGAGACGAAUGGCUUCCGGGUGAAUAUCCCGGGAGAUUGACGGUACCGAGAGAAGAAGCCCCGGCUAACUCCGUGCCAGCAGCCGCGGUAAUACGGGGGGGGCAAGCGUUGUUCGGAAUUACUGGGCGUAAAGGGCUCGUAGGCGGCCAACUAAGUCAGACGUGAAAUCCCUCGGCUUAACCGGGGAACUGCGUCUGAUACUGGAUGGCUUGAGAUUGGGAGAGGGAUGCGGAAUUCCAGGUGUAGCGGUGAAAUGCGUAGAUAUCUGGAGGAACACCGGUGGCGAAGGCGGCAUCCUGGACCAACACUGACGCUGAGGAGCGAAAGCCAGGGGAGCAAACGGGAUUAGAUACCCUAGUAGUCC
RNAcentral lists this ribosomal RNA (809 nucleotides) under uncultured bacterium. Its description in RNAcentral is "bacterial SSU rRNA". It matches the Rfam family "Bacterial small subunit ribosomal RNA", at positions 8 to 796 of the family's 1533-position model. The record is from RNAcentral.